This 470-nucleotide ribosomal RNA is filed under the name uncultured Sphingobacteriales bacterium. RNAcentral's name for it is "bacterial SSU rRNA". It matches the Rfam family "Bacterial small subunit ribosomal RNA", at positions 910 to 1382 of the family's 1533-position model. Lineage: Bacteria; Pseudomonadati; Bacteroidota; Sphingobacteriia; Sphingobacteriales. The record is from RNAcentral.
UUGACGGGGGCCCGCACAAGCGGUGGAGCAUGUGGUUUAAUUCGAUGAUACGCGAGGAACCUUACCUGGGCUCAAAUGUAUGUUGACGUAUUCUGAAAGGGAUACUUCUUCGGACAAUAUACAAGGUGCUGCAUGGUUGUCGUCAGCUCGUGCCGUGAGGUGUCGGGUUAAGUCCCAUAACGAGCGCAACCCCUAUCAUUAGUUGCCAUCAGGUCAAGCUGGGGACUCUAAUGAAACUGCCUACGCAAGUAGUGAGGAAGGUGGGGAUGACGUCAAAUCAGCACGGCCCUUACGUCCAGGGCUACACACGUGCUACAAUGGCCGAUACAGAGGGCAGCUACCUGGUGACAGGAUGCAAAUCUCCAAAGUCGGUCUCAGUUCGGAUCGGAGUCUGCAACCCGACUCCGUGAAGUUGGAUUCGCUAGUAAUCGCGCAUCAGCCAUGGCGCGGUGAAUACGUUCCCGGGCCUU